AUGACCGUGACGCUGCAGGAUAUUGCUAUGAUCACCGGUCUUCCUAUCGAUGGCAAUCCUUUAUGUAUGAACACCGAUUCUGAUGGGUGGCGCGCGCAGAUGCAUGCCCUUAUCGGUAUGGUUCCUCCGGAGCCUCGGGAACCAGAAGCAGAAGAUAAGAAGAAGGAAAGAGUCGCAGCGGGCGCUACUUUCACGUGGAUAUCAUCGAACUUCAGUCAUUGCCCUGAGGAUGCUAAUGAGGACAUGGUGAAGACAUAUGCUCGUGUCUACAUGUGGUACGUGAUAUCCAGGACAAUGUUUGCUGAUGGCACAGGCAAGAAUGCUCCAUGGAUGUGGCUGAAGGCAUUGACCGUCUUCGAUAGCAAAUGGAGUUAG
This 375-nucleotide ribosomal RNA is filed under the name Triticum aestivum (bread wheat). RNAcentral's name for it is "partial small subunit ribosomal RNA". The record is from RNAcentral. Lineage: Eukaryota; Viridiplantae; Streptophyta; Magnoliopsida; Poales; Poaceae.